This 383-nucleotide ribosomal RNA is filed under the name Clostridium botulinum. RNAcentral's name for it is "bacterial LSU rRNA". It matches the Rfam family "Bacterial large subunit ribosomal RNA", at positions 1260 to 1643 of the family's 2925-position model. The record is from RNAcentral. Lineage: Bacteria; Bacillati; Bacillota; Clostridia; Eubacteriales; Clostridiaceae.
ACCGGUAGGUGCGGUUGCCUUAGUACGCGUUAGGAUUUUGGCUUUAGUAGCGCUAUGUGGGUGACAAUCCCACAUGCCUAAUUCCUAUGGUUUCCUCAGGAAUGUUCGUCCGCUGAGGGUUAGUCGGGACCUAAGCUGAGGCCGAAAGGCGUAAGAGAUGGACAAUCGGUUGAUAUUCCGAUACCACUAUUAUCGUUUUUAUCGAUGGUGUGACGGAGAAGGAUAGGAUGUGCUAGCUAUUGUAUGCUAGUCUAAGCGUUUAGGGAGUUUGAAUAUGCACAUCCGUUCUAACAAUUCUUAGGCGUGCUGGGGAAGGUUCUAAGGAACCGAAGUAUCUGAUUCCAUGCUUCCAUAAAAGGCAUCUAGAAAGAGAAAUAGUUCCC